This 74-nucleotide transfer RNA is filed under the name Candidatus Competibacteraceae bacterium. RNAcentral describes it as "tRNA-Arg". It matches the Rfam family "tRNA". From Rfam's summary of the family: Transfer RNA (tRNA) molecules are approximately 80 nucleotides in length. Their secondary structure includes four short double-helical elements and three loops (D, anti-codon, and T loops). Lineage: Bacteria; Pseudomonadati; Pseudomonadota; Gammaproteobacteria; Candidatus Competibacteraceae. The record is from RNAcentral.
GUGCUCAUAGCUCAAUAGGAUAGAGCAGUUGUUUUCUAAACAGCAGGUUGCAAGUUCGAAUCUUGCUGGGCGCG